Molecule: ribosomal RNA, 492 nt
Filed under: uncultured bacterium
Lineage: Bacteria
Description: partial 16S ribosomal RNA
Rfam family: Bacterial small subunit ribosomal RNA
Source: RNAcentral
AGUGAACGCUGGCGGUAGGUCUAACACAUGCAAGUCGAACGGCAGCACAGUAAGAGCUUGCUCUUACGGGUGGCGAGUGGCGGACGGGUGAGGAAUACAUCGGAAUCUACUUUUUCGUGGGGGAUAACGUAGGGAAACUUACGCUAAUACCGCAUACGACCUACGGGUGAAAGCAGGGGAUCCUCGGACCUUGCGCGAUUGAAUGAGCCGAUGUCGGAUUAGCUAGUUGGCGGGGUAAAGGCCCACCAAGGCGACGAUCCGUAGCUGGUCUGAGAGGAUGAUCAGCCACACUGGAACUGAGACACGGUCCAGACUCCUACGGGAGGCAGCAGUGGGGAAUAUUGGACAAUGGGCGCAAGCCUGAUCCAGCCAUACCGCGUGGGUGAAGAAGGCCUUCGGGUUGUAAAGCCCUUUUGUUGGGAAAGAAAAGCAGCAGGUUAAUACCCCGCUGUUCUGACGGUACCCAAAGAAUAAGCACCGGCUAACUUCGUG